CCUACGGGAGGCAGCAGUGAGGAAUAUUGGUCAAUGGGCGCGAGCCUGAACCAGCCAAGUAGCGUGAAGGAUGACUGCCCUACGGGUUGUAAACUUCUUUUAUAAAGGAAUAAAGUGAGGCACGUGUGCCUUUUUGUAUGUACUUUAUGAAUAAGGAUCGGCUAACUCCGUGCCAGCAGCCGCGGUAAUACGGAGGAUCCGAGCGUUAUCCGGAUUUAUUGGGUUUAAAGGGAGCGUAGGUGGGUUGUUAAGUCAGUUGGUAAAGUUUGGGGCUCAACCGUAAAAUUGCAAUUGAUACUGGCAGGCUUGAGUGGAGUAGAGGUAGGCGGAAUGCGUGGUGUAGCGGUGAAAUGCUUAGAUAUCACGAAGAACUCCGAUUGCGAAGGCAGCUUACUAGCCUGCCACUGACAUUGAUGCACGAAAGUGUGGGUAUCGAACAGGAUUAGAUACCCCAGUAGUC
This 460-nucleotide ribosomal RNA is filed under the name uncultured bacterium. RNAcentral describes it as "partial 16S ribosomal RNA". It matches the Rfam family "Bacterial small subunit ribosomal RNA", at positions 338 to 795 of the family's 1533-position model. The record is from RNAcentral.